This 468-nucleotide ribosomal RNA is filed under the name uncultured bacterium. Its description in RNAcentral is "partial 16S ribosomal RNA". It matches the Rfam family "Bacterial small subunit ribosomal RNA", at positions 28 to 507 of the family's 1533-position model. The record is from RNAcentral.
GACGAACGCUGGCGGCGUGCUUAACACAUGCAAGUAGAACGGAAAGGCCCUGCUUUUGUUGGGUGCUCGAGUGGCGAACGGGUGAGUAACACGUGAGUAACCUGCCCUUGACUUUGGGAUAACUUUAGGAAACUGGGGCUAAUACCGCAUAGUAGUUCAUGUUGCAUGGCGGGGGCUGGAAAGUUUCGGUGGUUGGGUUUGGACUUGGGGCUUCUCAGCUUGUUGGUGGGGUAGUGGUUUACCAAGGCCAUGGCGGGUAGCCGGCCUGGGAGGGUGACCGGCCACAUUGGGACUGGGGAGGGAGCCGGACUGAUACGGGAGGCAUGGGGGGAGGAUUGUGCGAGAUAGGCGGAGGCCGUAAGCAGCAACGCCGCGUGCGGGAGGACGGUCGUCAGGUUGUAAACCGCUUUCGCGUGGGACGAAGCGUGUGUGACGGUAAUUGAUAAGAAAGCACCGGCUAACUACGUG